CAGUCGCCACGGGAAUACAGAGGGUGCGAGCGUUAAUCGGAUUUACUGGGCGUAAAGCGUGCGUAGGCGGCUUUUUAAGUCGGAUGUGAAAUCCCUGAGCUUAACUUAGGAAUUGCAUUCGAUACUGGGAAGCUAGAGUAUGGGAGAGGAUGGUAGAAUUCCAGGUGUAGCGGUGAAAUGCGUAGAGAUCUGGAGGAAUACCGAUGGCGAAGGCAGCCAUCUGGCCUAAUACUGACGCUGAGGUACGAAAGCAUGGGGAGCAAACAGGAUUAGAUACCCCAGUAGUCCCUGUCUCUUAUAA
This 301-nucleotide ribosomal RNA is filed under the name uncultured bacterium. Its description in RNAcentral is "partial 16S ribosomal RNA". It matches the Rfam family "Bacterial small subunit ribosomal RNA", at positions 509 to 809 of the family's 1533-position model. The record is from RNAcentral.